CCCGCACAAGCGGUGGAGCAUGUGGUUUAAUUCGAUGCAACGCGAAGAACCUUACCUGGUCUUGACAUCCACAGAACUUUCCAGAGAUGGAUUGGUGCCUUCGGGAACUGUGAGACAGGUGCUGCAUGGCUGUCGUCAGCUCGUGUUGUGAAAUGUUGGGUUAAGUCCCGCAACGAGCGCAACCCUUAUCCUUUGUUGCCAGCGGUUAGGCCGGGGAACUCAAAGGAGACUGCCAGUGAUAAACUGGAGGAAGGUGGGGGAUGACGUCAAGUCAUCAUGGCCCCUUACGACCAGGGCUACACACGUGCUACAAUGGCAUAUACAAAGAGAAGCGACCUCGCGAGAGCAAGCGGACCUCAUAAAGUAUGUCGUAGUCCGGA
RNAcentral lists this ribosomal RNA (380 nucleotides) under Klebsiella pneumoniae. RNAcentral describes it as "bacterial SSU rRNA". It matches the Rfam family "Bacterial small subunit ribosomal RNA", at positions 920 to 1297 of the family's 1533-position model. The record is from RNAcentral. Lineage: Bacteria; Pseudomonadati; Pseudomonadota; Gammaproteobacteria; Enterobacterales; Enterobacteriaceae.